AUUGAACGCUGGCGGCAGGCCUAACACAUGCAAGUCGAACGGUAACAGGAAGAAGCUUGCUUCUUUGCUGACGAGUGGCGGACGGGUGAGUAAUGUCUGGGAAACUGCCUGAUGGAGGGGGAUAACUACUGGAAACGGUAGCUAAUACCGCAUAACGUCGCAAGACCAAAGAGGGGGACCUUCGGGCCUCUUGCCAUCGGAUGUGCCCAGAUGGGAUUAGCUAGUAGGUGGGGUAACGGCUCACCUAGGCGACGAUCCCUAGCUGGUCUGAGAGGAUGACCAGCCACACUGGAACUGAGACACGGUCCAGACUCCUACGGGAGGCAGCAGUGGGGAAGAUUGCACGAUGGGGGCAAGCCUGAUGCAGCCAUGCCGCGUGUAUGAAGAAGGCCUUCGGGUUGUAAAGUACUUUCAGCGGGGAGGAAGGGAGUAAAGUUAAUACCUUUGCUCAUUGACGUUACCCGCAGAAGAAGCACCGGCUAACUCCGUG
RNAcentral lists this ribosomal RNA (490 nucleotides) under uncultured bacterium. RNAcentral's name for it is "partial 16S ribosomal RNA". It matches the Rfam family "Bacterial small subunit ribosomal RNA", at positions 30 to 507 of the family's 1533-position model. The record is from RNAcentral.